RNAcentral lists this ribosomal RNA (253 nucleotides) under uncultured bacterium. RNAcentral's name for it is "partial 16S ribosomal RNA". It matches the Rfam family "Bacterial small subunit ribosomal RNA", at positions 524 to 776 of the family's 1533-position model. The record is from RNAcentral.
GACGGAGGGUGCUAGCGUUGUUCGGAAUCACUGGGCGUAAAGCGCACGUAGGCGGAUUGCUAAGUCAGGGGUGAAAUCCUGGAGCUCAACUCCAGAACUGCCUUUGAUACUGGCGAUCUUGAGUCCGGGAGAGGUGAGUGGAACUGCGAGUGUAGAGGUGAAAUUCGUAGAUAUUCGCAAGAACACCAGUGGCGAAGGCGGCUCACUGGCCCGGUACUGACGCUGAGGUGCGAAAGCGUGGGGAGCAAACAGG